UACGUAGGUGUCAAGCGUUGUCCGGAUUUAUUGGGCGUAAAGAGCCCGCAGGCGGCUUGCCAAGUUCGAGGUGAAAUCUCCCGGCUCAACCGGGAGGGUGCCUCGAAAACUGGCAGGCUUGAGGCAGGGAGAGGGAUGUGGAAUUCCCGGUGUAGUGGUGAAAUGCGUAGAUAUCGGGAGGAACACCAGUGGCGAAGGCGGCAUCCUGGCCCUGUCCUGACGCUCAGGGGCGAAAGCGUGGGGAGCAAACCGG
RNAcentral lists this ribosomal RNA (253 nucleotides) under uncultured bacterium. RNAcentral describes it as "partial 16S ribosomal RNA". It matches the Rfam family "Bacterial small subunit ribosomal RNA", at positions 524 to 776 of the family's 1533-position model. The record is from RNAcentral.